Molecule: ribosomal RNA, 203 nt
Filed under: Klebsiella pneumoniae
Lineage: Bacteria; Pseudomonadati; Pseudomonadota; Gammaproteobacteria; Enterobacterales; Enterobacteriaceae
Description: partial 16S ribosomal RNA
Rfam family: Bacterial small subunit ribosomal RNA
Source: RNAcentral
CAUGCAAGUCGAGCGGUAGCACAGAGAGCUUGCUCUCGGGUGACGAGCGGCGGACGGGUGAGUAAUGUCUGGGAAACUGCCUGAUGGAGGGGGAUAACUACUGGAAACGGUAGCUAAUACCGCAUAACGUCGCAAGACCAAAGUGGGGGACCUUCGGGCCUCAUGCCAUCAGAUGUGCCCAGAUGGGAUUAGCUAGUAGGUGG